GCAAGUCGAGCGCGCCCUUCGGGGUGAGUGGCGCACGGGUGCGUAACACGUGGGAAUUUACAUUUCGGUAAGGAAUAACACAGAGAAAUUUGUGCUAAUACCUUAUAAUGACUCCGGUCCAAAGAUUUAUCGCCGAAAGAUAAGCCCGCGCUAGAUUAGGUAGUUGGUAGGGUAAGAGCCUACCAAGCCUACGAUCUAUAGCUGGUCUGAGAGGAUGAUC
This 220-nucleotide ribosomal RNA is filed under the name uncultured bacterium. RNAcentral's name for it is "partial 16S ribosomal RNA". It matches the Rfam family "Bacterial small subunit ribosomal RNA", at positions 57 to 305 of the family's 1533-position model. The record is from RNAcentral.